This 73-nucleotide transfer RNA is filed under the name Deltaproteobacteria bacterium. RNAcentral's name for it is "tRNA-Ala". It matches the Rfam family "tRNA". From Rfam's summary of the family: Transfer RNA (tRNA) molecules are approximately 80 nucleotides in length. Lineage: Bacteria; Pseudomonadati; Myxococcota; Myxococcia. The record is from RNAcentral.
GGGGCUGUAGCUCAGCUGGGAGAGCACAAGCUUUGCAAGCUUGGGGUCAGGGGUUCGAUCCCCCUCAGCUCCA